Molecule: ribosomal RNA, 445 nt
Filed under: uncultured bacterium
Lineage: Bacteria
Description: partial 16S ribosomal RNA
Rfam family: Bacterial small subunit ribosomal RNA
Source: RNAcentral
GUAGGGAAUAUUGGGCAAUGGAUGCAAGUCUGACCCAGCCAUGCCGCGUGGAGGAAGAAGGUCCUCUGGAUUGUAAACUCCUUUUUUGGGGGAAGAAUAGUUCUCUUGCGAGGGAAUGUGACGGUACCCUAAGAAUAAGCCACGGCUAACUACGUGCAAGCAGCCGCGGUAAUACGUAGGUGGCAAGCGUUGUCCGGAUUUAUUGGGUUUAAAGGGUGCGUAGGUGGUUUGAUAAGUCAGUGGUGAAAGCUGGUUGCUCAACAAUCAAGUUUCCAUUGAUACUGUCGGACCUGAGAGAAGUGGAGGUUCAUGGAAUGGAUGGUGUAGCGGUGAAAUGCAUAGAUAUCAUCCAGAACGUCGAUUGCGAAGGCAGUGGGCUGUACUUUAUCUGACACUGAGGCACGAAAGUGUGGGGAUCAAACAGGAUUAGAAACCCCUGUAGUCC